RNAcentral lists this long non-coding RNA (353 nucleotides) under Lactuca sativa (garden lettuce). Its description in RNAcentral is "long non-coding RNA (LSAT_LNC002895)". Lineage: Eukaryota; Viridiplantae; Streptophyta; Magnoliopsida; Asterales; Asteraceae. The record is from RNAcentral.
ACCGCGCCGGCUCCUUUCCCCUAGCUGAGGAGGUACCUGAAACCAAAACUGAAAACUGUAAGCACAAAGCUUAGUGAGUUCCCCCAUAAUACCCCAUACCAUGCAUACAUAUAACAACCAAUGUUCAGCUAGGAGUUACGGGCCUUGCCCACACUCGGGAAGAUACGGGCUCUGCCCACACUUCGCUAGCCGGGAGAUACGGGCCUCGCCCACACUUGUGAAGAUACGGGCCCUGCCCACACUUCGCUAUCUGGGAGAUACGGGUCUAGCCCACACUCCAACCUCGGAGAGAUACGGGCCCUGCCCACACUCAACCGCUAACCCAUAACAUACAAGUAUCACGCAGACAACAA